UACAGAGGUCUCAAGCGUUGUUCGGAUUCAUUGGGCGUAAAGGGUGCGUAGGCGGCGCGGUAAGUCGGGUGUGAAAAUCUCGGAGCUUAACUCCGAAACUGCAUUCGAUACUGCCGUGCUUGAGGACUGGAGAGGAGACUGGAAUUUACGGUGUAGCGGUGAAAUGCGUAGAUAUCGUAAGGAAGACCAGUGGCGAAGGCGGGUCUCUGGACAGUUCCUGACGCUGAGGCACGAAGGUCAGGGGGAGCAAACGGG
This 255-nucleotide ribosomal RNA is filed under the name uncultured bacterium. RNAcentral describes it as "partial 16S ribosomal RNA". It matches the Rfam family "Bacterial small subunit ribosomal RNA", at positions 524 to 776 of the family's 1533-position model. The record is from RNAcentral.